GGUUAAGCGACUAAGCGUACACGGUGGAUGCCCUGGCAGUCAGAGGCGAUGAAGGACGUGCUAAUCUGCGAAAAGCGUCGGUAAGGUGAUAUGAACCGUUAUAACCGGCGAUGUCCGAAUGGGGAAACCCAGUGCAAUUCGUUGCACUAUCGUUAACUGAAUACAUAGGUUAACGAGGCGAACCGGGGGAACUGAAACA
RNAcentral lists this ribosomal RNA (199 nucleotides) under Klebsiella aerogenes. RNAcentral describes it as "partial 23S ribosomal RNA". It matches the Rfam family "Bacterial large subunit ribosomal RNA", at positions 1 to 200 of the family's 2925-position model. The record is from RNAcentral. RNAcentral also lists the same sequence under 11 other names. Lineage: Bacteria; Pseudomonadati; Pseudomonadota; Gammaproteobacteria; Enterobacterales; Enterobacteriaceae.